Molecule: ribosomal RNA, 523 nt
Filed under: uncultured bacterium
Lineage: Bacteria
Description: bacterial SSU rRNA
Rfam family: Bacterial small subunit ribosomal RNA
Source: RNAcentral
UGGGGAAUACUGGACAAUGGGGGCAACCCUGAUCCAGCCAUGCCGCGUGAGUGAUGAAGGCCUUAGGGUUGUAAAGCUCUUUUAUCCGGGACGAUAAUGACGGUACCGGAGGAAUAAGCCCCGGCUAACUUCGUGCCAGCAGCCGCGGUAAUACGAAGGGGGCUAGCGUUGCUCGGAAUCACUGGGCGUAAAGGGCGCGUAGGCGGUCUUUUAAGUCGGGGGUGAAAGCCUGUGGCUCAACCACAGAAUUGCCUUCGAUACUGGGAGACUUGAGUUCGGAAGAGGUUGGUGGAACUGCGAGUGUAGAGGUGAAAUUCGUAGAUAUUCGCAAGAACACCGGUGGCGAAGGCGGCUCACUGGCCCGGAACUGACGCUGAGGCACGAAAGCGUGGGGAGCAAACAGGAUUAGAUACCCUGGUAGUCCACGCCUUAAACGAUGAAUGCUAGCCGUUGGUCAGCUUGCUGAUCCGUGGCGCCGUUAACACAUUAAGCAUUCCACCUGGGGAGUACGGUCGCAAGAUUA